RNAcentral lists this microRNA precursor (98 nucleotides) under Eucalyptus grandis. Its description in RNAcentral is "MIR390 microRNA precursor family". It matches the Rfam family "MIR390 microRNA precursor family". The record is from Rfam by way of RNAcentral. Lineage: Eukaryota; Viridiplantae; Streptophyta; Magnoliopsida; Myrtales; Myrtaceae.
CCGGAGAAUCGGUGAAGCUCAGGAGGGAUAGCGCCGUUUCAAACCUUUCUUUUUUUUGGAGGUGGCGCUAUCCAUCCUGAGUUUCAUGGCUUCUUCGU